GUGUCCAGCUGGUGCUGACUCUUCCGGUCCACCUCCUCUAGUUUCUUCAAAGGAAAACCCAGGAGGAGAAGUUUCUACACUUAACCACAUCAGAACGCCACACAGGAACCGCAUUUCGAGGACUUCAAACAGUCAGCUGUUGACUUCAAGAGCUACGGCCGCCUCGUCCCGCACCGGAGGGAGGAGGCCGUGCUUCAGGAAGGAGUCGUGUUGUCUGGGAACAGAUGCUGCACAUUUGCUGACUGGGGAAAUGUCUGCAAGUCCUCCAGGAACUGUGUCACUCACUAACCGAGGUGGCGUGAACACGUUGCUAAAGGCUACGCCUCUUCAAAGGUGAAUUUGAAAGCUGUGGGCAACAAUGUCCUUGUUCAGGAUGUCACUGCGGUGAUACUUACAAUUUACGCGACUUGUCAGAAUACAUGUAUUUGUCAUAUGUAGGAAAAACAACUACAUUCAUACAGAAAAUGUGCUUUAAUCUUUCAU
Long non-coding RNA from Hippocampus comes (tiger tail seahorse), 483 nucleotides. RefSeq lists it as uncharacterized. The transcript is spliced from 3 exons. NCBI's taxonomy places the organism in Eukaryota, Metazoa, Chordata, Actinopteri, Syngnathiformes, Syngnathidae. The record is from RefSeq and is a predicted model, not a curated record.